CCCCUAGAUGUUCUGGGCCGCACGCGCGCUACACUGAACAGUUCAACAAGUCUUAACCUUGGCCGAUAGGUCUGGGUAAUCUUUGAACGCUGUUCGUGAUUGGGAUAGACCUUUGCAAUUAUGGGUCUUCAACGAGGAAUUCCUAGUAAACGCAAGUCAUCAGCUUGCAUUGAUUACGUCCCUGCCCUUUGUACACACCGCCCGUCGCACCUACCGAUUGAAUGGUCCGGUGAAAUCUCGGGACGGCGGCUUGGUCGCUUGCGUCCGACUGCUGAAACUUGAUUAACCCAUAUCAUUUAGAGGAAGGUGAANUCGUANCA
This 320-nucleotide ribosomal RNA is filed under the name uncultured eukaryote. Its description in RNAcentral is "partial 18S ribosomal RNA". It matches the Rfam family "Eukaryotic small subunit ribosomal RNA", at positions 1470 to 1796 of the family's 1831-position model. The record is from RNAcentral.